Molecule: ribosomal RNA, 400 nt
Filed under: uncultured bacterium
Lineage: Bacteria
Description: bacterial SSU rRNA
Rfam family: Bacterial small subunit ribosomal RNA
Source: RNAcentral
UUAGGAAUAUUGGACAAUGGGGGAAACCCUGAUCCAGCCAUGCCGCGUGUGUGAUGAAGGCCCUAGGGUUGUAAAGCACUUUCAUCGGGGAUGAUAAUGACAGUACCCGAAGAAGAAGCCACGGCUAAAUUCGUGCCAGCAGCCGCGGUAAUACGAAUGUGGCAAGCGUUGUUCGGAAUCACUGGGCGUAAAGAAUGCGUAGGCGGCUUAACAAGUCAGGAGUGAAAUCCCCGGGCUCAACCCGGGAACUGCUUCUGAAACUGUUUUGCUAGAGUCCCGGAGGGGUUGGCGGAAUUCCGAGUGUAGAGGUGAAAUUCGCAGAUAUUCGGAGGAACACCAGUGGCGUAGGCGGCCAACUGGACGGGAACUGACGCUGAGGCAUGAAAGUGUGGGGAGCAAA